This 550-nucleotide ribosomal RNA is filed under the name uncultured bacterium. RNAcentral's name for it is "bacterial SSU rRNA". It matches the Rfam family "Bacterial small subunit ribosomal RNA", at positions 362 to 917 of the family's 1533-position model. The record is from RNAcentral.
UNUUGCACAAUGGGCGAAAGCCUGNUGCAGCGACGCCGCGUGGGGGAUGAAGCUUCUCGGAGUGUAAACCCCUUUCGCCUGGGACGAAUGCCCGCAAGGGAGUGACGGUACCAGGAUAAGAAGCCCCGGCUAACUACGUGCCAGCAGCCGCGGUAAGACGUAGGGGGCCAGCGUUGUUCGGAAUUACUGGGUGUAAAGGGUUCGUAGGCGGUGUGGCAAGUCGGGAGUGAAAUCUCUGGGCUCAACUCAGAGGCUGCUUCCGAAACUGCUGUGCCUGAGUGUGAGAGAGGCUCGUGGAAUUGCAGGUGUAGCNGGUGAAAUGCGUAGAUAUCUGCAGGAACACCCGUGGCGAAAGCGGCGAGCUGGAUCACUACUGACGCUGAGGAACGAAAGCUAGGGGAGCAAACAGGAUUAGAUACCCUGGUAGUCCUAGCCCUAAACGAUCAGGACUUGGGGUGCCGCCCGUUCGGGCGUCGUCCCGGAGCUAACACGUUAAGUCCUGCACCUGGGGAGUACGGUCGCAAGACUGAAACUCAAAAAAAUUGACGGA